Molecule: ribosomal RNA, 490 nt
Filed under: uncultured bacterium
Lineage: Bacteria
Description: partial 16S ribosomal RNA
Rfam family: Bacterial small subunit ribosomal RNA
Source: RNAcentral
AUUGAACGCUGGCGGCAGGCCUAACACAUGCAAGUCGAAUGGUAACAGGAAACAGCUUGCUGUUUCGCUGACGAGUGGCGGACGGGUGAGUAAUGUCUGGGAAACUGCCUGAUGGAGGGGGAUAACUACUGGAAACGGUAGCUAAUACCGCAUAACGUCGCAAGACCAAAGAGGGGGACCUUCGGGCCUCUUGCCAUCAGAUGUUCCCAGAUGGGAUUAGCUAGUAGGUGGGGUAACGGCUCACCUAGGCGACGAUCCCUAGCUGGUCUGAGAGGAUGACCAGCCACACUGGAACUGAGACACGGUCCAGACUCCUACGGGAGGCAGCAGUGGGGAAUAUUGCACAAAGGGCGCAAGCCUGAUGCAGCCAUGCCGCGUGUAUGAAGAAGGCCUUCGGGUUGUAAAGUACUUUCAGCGGGGAGGAAGGGAGUAAAGUUAAUACCUUUGCUCAUUGACGUUACCCGCAGAAGAAGCACCGGCUAACUCCGUG